Molecule: ribosomal RNA, 362 nt
Filed under: uncultured fungus
Lineage: Eukaryota; Fungi
Description: eukaryotic LSU rRNA
Rfam family: Eukaryotic large subunit ribosomal RNA
Source: RNAcentral
AUAUCAAUAAGCGGAGGAAAAGAAACUAACAGGGAUUGCCUCAGUAACGGCGAGUGAAGCGGCAACAGCUCAAAUUUUAAAGCUGGCGUCUUCGGCGCACGCGUUGUAAUUUGGAGAGGCAUCUUCGGUUCGGGCGCCAGCCUAUGUUCCUUGGAACAGGACGUCACAGAGGGUGAGAAUCCCGUGCCUGGCUGGCUGUCCCGACCCAUGUGAAGCGCCUUCGACGAGUCGAGUUGUUUGGGAAUGCAGCUCAAAAUGGGUGGUAAAUUUCAUCUAAAGCUAAAUAUUGGCGGGAGACCGAUAGCGCACAAGUAGAGUGAUCGAAAGAUGAAAAGCACUUUGAAAAUAGAGUUAAAAAGUAC